UAAAGAUUCCCUAUGGGUUACUGAAAACUCCCGGCUUGUUUGGGGAAAAUGGCUCCCAACCCAGCAAUGGAAAUACCUGUAUCAUGACAAAUCUAGAGAGAUGCAGUUCAUGUGAUAGCAAAUUUAGUGCCAGAUUUAAAGUAAGACCAAGUUGCAGAAAGACAUAGAGCACAUCUUCCAGAACAUUCUACCCAAUCUAGAUCCCUGCCAGCCAUUUGUCCAGAGCUGACCAUGAAGAAAUUCUUCAACCUGCACACAGAGAGGCUAAGAAGAAUCUGACCAGACAAGAGUUGCUGGGUUUCCACCAUUCAGUGUGUUACAAUACAUCAUAACUUUUUGUUCAAUCACAAUUCUAUGGCUGUCCAUUCCUCCUCAUCAAACUUUUGCAUAAAAACCAUUCUCCCUGGAUUUUCAGGGAAGGCUUCUGUGUAAUGUAAAACUUUGAUUAAAUACAUCUGUUAUGCUUUUC
This is a long non-coding RNA of Marmota flaviventris (yellow-bellied marmot), 469 nucleotides long. RefSeq lists it as uncharacterized. The record is from RefSeq and is a predicted model, not a curated record. NCBI's taxonomy places the organism in Eukaryota, Metazoa, Chordata, Mammalia, Rodentia, Sciuridae.